CCUACGGGGGGCGGCAGUGGGGAAUAUUGCACAAUGGACGAAAGUCUGAUGCAGCAAUGCCGCGUGUGUGAAGAAGGCCUUCGGGUUGUAAAGCACUUUCAGAUGUGAGGAAAAGCAGUCUAUUAAUACUAGACUGCCGUGACGUUAACAUCAGAAGAAGGACCGGCUAACUCCGUGCCAGCAGCCGCGGUAAUACGGAGGGUCCAAGCGUUAAUCGGAAUUACUGGGCGUAAAGCGCGCGUAGGCGGAUAUUUAAGUCAGAUGUGAAAUCCCUGGGCUCAACCUAGGAACUGCAUUUGAAACUGGAUAUCUAGAGUAUGGUAGAGGUGAGUGGAAUUUCAGGUGUAGCGGUGAAAUGCGUAGAGAUCUGAAGGAACAUCAGUGGCGAAGGCGACUCACUGGGCCAUUACUGACGCUGAGGUGCGAAAGCGUGGGUAGCAAACAGGAUUAGAUACCCUGGUAGUCCACGCCCUAAACGAUGUCAACUAGGUGUGUGAGAGUCUAACUCUUGCGUAUCGAAGCUAACGCGAUAAGUUGACCGCCUGGGGAGUACGGUCGCAAGACUAAAACUCAAAGGAAUUGACGG
RNAcentral lists this ribosomal RNA (586 nucleotides) under uncultured bacterium. Its description in RNAcentral is "bacterial SSU rRNA". It matches the Rfam family "Bacterial small subunit ribosomal RNA", at positions 338 to 916 of the family's 1533-position model. The record is from RNAcentral.